AACGAACGCUGGCGGCAGGCUUAACACAUGCAAGUCGAGCGCGGUCCUUCGGGACUGAGCGGCGGACGGGUGAGUAACGCGUGGGAACGUGCCCCUUUCUUCGGAAUAGCCUCGGGAAACUGGGAGUAAUGCCGAAUACGCCGGAUCGUCGAGAGAUGGUUUGGGAAAGAUUUAUCGGAGAGGGAUCGGCCCGCGUUGGAUUAGGUAGUUGGUGGGGUAAUGGCCUACCAAGCCGACGAUCCAUAGCUGGUUUGAGAGGAUGAUCAGCCACACUGGGACUGAGACACGGCCCAGACUCCUACGGGAGGCUG
RNAcentral lists this ribosomal RNA (311 nucleotides) under uncultured Pseudomonadota bacterium. Its description in RNAcentral is "bacterial SSU rRNA". It matches the Rfam family "Bacterial small subunit ribosomal RNA", at positions 29 to 351 of the family's 1533-position model. Lineage: Bacteria; Pseudomonadati; Pseudomonadota. The record is from RNAcentral.